CCCAGACUCCUACGGGAGGCAGCAGUGGGGAAUAUUGCACAAUGGGCGGAAGCCUGAUGCAGCAACGCCGCGUGAGGGACGACGGCCUUCGGGUUGUAAACCUCUUUUAGCAGGGAAGAAGCGAAAGUGACGGUACCUGCAGAAAAAGCGCCGGCUAACUACGUGCCAGCAGCCGCGGUAAUACGUAGGGCGCAAGCGUUAUCCGGAAUUAUUGGGCGUAAAGAGCUCGUAGGCGGUUUGUCGCGUCUGCUGUGAAAACCCGAGGCUCAACCUCGGGCCUGCAGUGGGUACGGGCAGACUAGAGUGCGGUAGGGGAGAUUGGAAUUCCUGGUGUAGCGGUGGAAUGCGCAGAUAUCAGGAGGAACACCGAUGGCGAAGGCAGAUCUCUGGGCCGUUACUGACGCUGAGGAGCGAAAGGGUGGGGAGCAAACAGGCUUAGAUACCCUGGUAGUCCACCCCGUAAACGUUGGGAACUAGUUGUGGGGGCCUUUCCACGGUCUCCGUGACGCAGCUAACGCAUUAAGUUCCCCGCCUGGGGAGUACGGCCGCAAGGCUAAAACUCAAAGGAAUUGACGGGGACCCGCACAAGCGGCGGAGCAUGCGGAUUAAUUCGAUGCAACGCGAAGAACCUUACCAAGGCUUGACAUACACCGGAAACGGCCAGAGAUGGUCGCCCCUUUAUGGUCGGUGUACAGGUGGUGCAUGGUUGUCGUCAGCUCGUGUCGUGAGAUGUUGGGUUAAGUCCCGCAACGAGCGCAACCCUCGUUCUAUGUUGCCAGCACGUUAUGGUGGGAACUCAUGGGAUACUGCCGGGGUCAACUCGGAGGAAGGUGGGGAUGACGUCAAAUCAUCAUGCCCCUUAUGUCUUGGGCUUCACGCAUGCUACAAUGGCCGGUACAAAGGGCUGCAAUACCGUGAGGUGGAGCGAAUCCCAAAAAGCCGGUCCCAGUUCGGAUUGAGGUCUGCAACUCGACCUCAUGAAGUCGGAGUCGCUAGUAAUCGCAGAUCAGCAACGCUGCGGUGAAUACGUUCCCGGGUCUUGUACACACCGCCCGUCAAGUCAUGAAAGUCGGUAACACCUGAAGCCGGUGGC
This 1093-nucleotide ribosomal RNA is filed under the name Microbacterium sp. U101. RNAcentral describes it as "bacterial SSU rRNA". It matches the Rfam family "Bacterial small subunit ribosomal RNA", at positions 330 to 1434 of the family's 1533-position model. The record is from RNAcentral. Lineage: Bacteria; Bacillati; Actinomycetota; Actinomycetes; Micrococcales; Microbacteriaceae.